Molecule: ribosomal RNA, 1068 nt
Filed under: Leptodon smithii
Lineage: Eukaryota; Viridiplantae; Streptophyta; Bryopsida; Hypnales; Leptodontaceae
Description: eukaryotic LSU rRNA
Rfam family: Eukaryotic large subunit ribosomal RNA
Source: RNAcentral
GAGMAGAAACUAACCAGGAUUUCCCUAGUAACGGCGAGCGAACCGGAAAGAGCCCAGCUUGAAAAUCGUGGUGCCUCGCACCUCGAGUUGUAGUCUGGAGAAGGUCCCUCUGCGACGCGCCGGUCCCAAGUUCCCUGGAAAGGGACGUCAUCGAGGGUGACAACCCCGUCCGCGCCCGGAACGCGUCGCUCCACGAGGACCUGUCUGCGAGUCGGGCUGUUUGGGAAUGCAGCCCUAAGCGGGAGGUAAAUUCCUUCCAAGGCUAAAUAUGGGCAAGAGACCGAUAGCGAACAAGUACCGCGAGGGAAAGAUGAAAAGGACUUUGAAAAGAGAGUUAAAAAGUGCUUGAAAUUGCUGGGAGGGAAGCGAAUGGAAGCUGCGGGUGCGCCCCGGUUGGAUGUGGAACGGCUCUCGGGCUGGUCCGCCGCUCAACGCGGGGCGCUGGUCAGCGUGGGCCACGGCGCCGGGACAAGAGCGGGGAAUCGCUUCCCGCCUAUGCCGGUGCGGUGGCCGAGGAACGAAGCGCGCGCCUCACGGCGUGGGUUCGCCCAACUGCGCGCUCGGGACGCUGGCGUAUUGAGCUCUUCAUCCGACCCGUCUUGAAACACGGACCAAGGAGUCUAACAUGUAUGCGAGCCGGUGGGCGGCAAACCCAUUGAGGCGCAAGUAAACUGACAGGUGGGACCCCGACCGCAAGGGAGGGAGCACCAUCGACCGACCGUGAUCUUCUGUGAAAGGUUUGAGUGUGAGCAUACCUGUUGGGACCCGAAAGAUGGUGAACUAUGCCUGAGCAGGGCGAAGCCAGAGGAAACUCUGGUGGAGGCUCGUAGCGAUACUGACGUGCAAAUCGUUCGUCAGACUUGGGUAUAGGGGCGAAAGACUAAUCGAACCAUCUAGUAGCUGGUUCCCUCCGAAGUUUCCCUCAGGAUAGCUGGAGCUCGUGUACAAGUUUUAUCAGGUAAAGCGAAUGAUUAGAGGCAUCGGGGGUGUAACACCCUCGACCUAUUCUCAAACUUUAAAUAGGUAAGCCGCCGGGGUUGCUUGGUUGAACCCCGGCACAGAAUGAGA